ACAAACAGAUGAAAAUAGCUAUUACCAUGCGUGUAUCGUUCCUGUGUCAAUAAUUAUGUUAAAGAUAUUGAACUAUUGUCAUUAUAAUCUACAAAAUACCCUUUAUAAUAAAUGUAUUCUGAUAUGAAUCUUAUAAAAUGCGGGUGCAUUGCAAAGUACUGUUUAAUAUGGAACAAUAUUAAGGCAAAAAUUGCAUAUUGCCUUCUGGCAUACACGUGUCUCUGUCUGACAAGUUGACUGCUUGAGUUUGACAUUCGGAAUCCCAUCUUGCAUUCUUACAUGUACAUGCCUUUAUUUGAUAUUCAGUUUGAUUUGAUUUUGCCUGCUUCAUAUAUUCGUCUCGCUUUCGGACAUGCUGUAAUCUGAUAUACUACUUCAUCCUACUGACUAGUGGUUCCGUACAUCUUGCCUUCUCGGACCGUCAAUGGUGUAUACUUAUUGACGAAGGUAACAUCUAGCUAUCGGACAUGCUGUAAUCUGACAUACUACUUCAUCGUUACUUACAUCGUGCCUUCUUGGAGCGUCAAUGGUGUAUACUUCUUAGUGAAAACAACUUAAGAAGUUUCUUAACUAUGUGAUUGCAAGGAGCUGGGUUAUGAAAUAAUUUCAGUGCAUUCUUAAAUUCUUGUUCAGGUGGAGAUAACCCUUUGUACGGAAACACACGAACUAUACCGAGAAUGUUAAGACUACACGUCCGGUAACCGCACUAAACACCAUAUAUUCCUAUUUGAAUCCAAGUAAAAUGAGUAUAUUUUUCGAGACUCUACCUUUAAUCGGAUAUAUAAAUAGCGCGCUAUAAAUAGCCUAACAGAACAGAAUUAUGUCAUCACCUGAGUACUAGUCGAAAUAAUUACACGUUCAUACAUGUAUUGUUUUAUAUUUGUGACGCUGACUGGGGAUAUUGCCCAUAUGAAAAAAUAUCACAAUAUUUCCUGGGAUCGCGUCAAAUUAGUUGGACUACUGUUGCUUAUUCAAAGGAGACAUGAUAUCUAACAUUUUGAGAAAUGGCACUGUGGUCAGCAUUUGUCUCACGUGAACUGUGGAGACAUUUGGAAACUGUACCUGAAUGUUCAUCACAAAGUGCUGGUGUUUUGAUAUCUACAAGAGCAGACGGCAACAGAAUUGGAUUUUACCCAAAUCUAAAGAUGUUGAGGAGUACAAGAAACAACAAAAAAGCUAUGAAAAACAAAUGAAAUAAAAACAACGUGAAGUUAUAUUGAAUCAUGGCCCUGGGUUCCAGACCGUUCGACAACAACGAAAAUAAAAAUAUUUUUUUUAGCUCACCAUAGCACAAACUGCUUAAGGUGAGCUAUUGUGAGUGACCGUCGGCGUGCGUCUUGCGUAAACAUUUGCCUUGUGAACACUCUAGAGGCCACAUUUAUGACCAAAUCUUUAUGAAAUUUGGUCAGAAUGUUAGUCAUGAUGAUCUCUAGGUCAAGUUUGAAAGUGGGUUAUGUGGGGUCAAAAACUAUGUCAGUAGGUUAGAUCAAAGAAAAUGCCUGUGAACCUCUAGAGACCACAUUUUUCACCCAAUCUUUAUGAAAAUUUGUCAGAAUGUUAGUCUUGAUAAUCUCUAGGUCAACUUUGAAAUUGGGUCAUGUGGAGUUAAAACCUAGGUCAGAAGGUUAGAUCAAAUAAAACGCUUGUUAACACUCUAGAGACCACAUUUUUAACCCAAUCUUUAUAGAAACUUGGUCAGAAUAUUAGUCUUGAUGAUCUCUAGGUCAAGUUUGAAUCUGGGUCAUGUUAGAUCAAAAAAUAGGUCAGUACGUCAAAUCAAUGGAAAACCUUGUGAACACUCUAGAGACCACAUUUAUGACCCAAUCUUUAUGAAACUUUGUUAGAAUGUUAGUCUUGAUGAUCUCUAGGUCAAUUUCGAAACUGGGUCAUGUUGGAUCAUAAACUAGGUCACCUGGUCAAAUCAAAUGAAAAGUUUGUAAACACUCUAAAGGCCACAGUUGUGUACCAAUAUUUAUGAAACAUAGUCAGAAAGUUUGACUGUAAAAAGUCUCCCCGUACAUUCAAUCAGGGCUGUUACAUUUCGAUCUUCUCAGAUCGUUCAGCACGGCUUUUAUGUCGUGUUAUUAGUACUGUUUAGUUUCUCAACAUGACCAUUUCGGCCAGGGUGGUUCCAAUACCCCCACUUUCAUAGCCUUGGGUAUUGUUUAAUCACCCCUUGGAUAUGGUGCCUGCUUUUUAAUUUUGUCUUUUGACAGUUCCUGUGAUACGCAGGCUGCAUAACCACAGAUGCCCUUCUUAAAUUCCAAUUUGUUUAGUUCUGCCCAUUGUUUUCUCGUUUGGGGCAAACCCUUUAUUUUAUCUGGGGACCAAACGCCUCUCUUCAUGGAAUUACACGCCUCAACACGUGUAUCAUUGAAGGUUCCAUGUUCACCGCCGUUUGAAUACAUCUGCGGAUGUCUCUAAAUUGCUUUUUGUACUUUUAGCAUGUGUAAAUGUUGAGUUCUGCUCAACCCGGGGCUAGAGGGCGUGGACGGUAGCAUGCAUUUCCACUACCAUCCAUGAACAGGCUCAAUCAAACCGAGCCUGCAACAUUUUCGUUUUUGUCGUGUUGAGCGACCUGUGAAGUUUCUAUUUGAUGAUUUCUGUGUCAAAUUUGAAUCUAGGUCAUGUGGGGUCAAAAACUAUAAACGACAGUGUCUACUUGCAGUAGGGAGCACAAUGCCUAACUUUAUAGUGCUGCCUCACCCCACCCAGUCACAUUAUACUGACACCGGGCUGACCAGUCCCAUCACUAUCCUCUUAAUGCUGAACGUCAAGCAAAGAAGCUUCUAGUACCAUUUUUACGUCUUUGGUAUGACACGGCCGGGGAUUGAACCCACGACCUCCCGCACUCAAAGCGGACGCUCUACCACUAGGCUACCGAGGCGGUAGGCCACAGUUGUAACUCAAUCUUUAUGAAACUGGGUCGAAUGUUUGUCUUAAUCAUUUCUAGGUCAAGGUCGAAUCUGGGUCAUGUGGGGUCAAAAACUAGGUCACCCGGUCAAAUCAAAGGAAAAGCUUGUGAAAUCUCUAGAGGCCACAGUUGUAACCAAAUCUUAAUGAAAUUUAAUCAAUAUGUUUGUGACGAUCUUUAGGUCAAGUUCAACUCUUGUCAUGUGGGAUCAAAAACUAGGUCACUAGGCCAGAUAAACUCUUGUGAGCGAUAUAUAGGGCCAUGGCCCUCUUGUUUUUGUUAGAUAUCUGGAAAUUAAUGCUAUGUUUCUGAAGAAUGCUUUGAAACUUAAUUCUGACAGACUAUCAUGAAAACAUGUGAGAAAUAGUUGUUUUUACUAAUUUUACGAUGAAAAUCGAAAAGCGUUUGUUACGCUUUACUCGAGGUAAAGAAAAGUAUUUAUGGAGGUCAGUGCCUUCAAUUUUAUAAAAGAUAAUUCAACACACAUUUCUGUCGAGAUCUAACUUUAUGUGAUGGACCUUUUUAUCUCGGACAAAGUAUAUGAUACGCGAACACGGUUCUGCAAUGUUGCUUAAAUGAGCAUGCAUAUCUUUAACAGUCUGCAAAUAAAAGAUAGAUUUUAAGAAGUUAUUCAUUUAUAUCAUACUGUAUAAUAAUAGAUUUAUGCUAUGUCAUUUUCAAAGAGAAUUUAUAUGUGUUUCCUUUUAUUUGUUAACUAUCUGUUUGUGUUGGCAUAAUAAACAAUUAUGAAUAUAAAAAUAUAAAGAUGA
Long non-coding RNA from Mercenaria mercenaria, 3684 nucleotides. RefSeq lists it as uncharacterized. The transcript is spliced from 3 exons. The record is from RefSeq and is a predicted model, not a curated record. NCBI's taxonomy places the organism in Eukaryota, Metazoa, Mollusca, Bivalvia, Venerida, Veneridae.